GGCUCAGGAUGAACGCUAGCGGCAGGCUUAACACAUGCAAGUCGAGGGGCAGCGCGGAGUAGCAAUACUCUGGCGGCGACCGGCGAAAGGGUGAGUAACGCGUGAGCAACAUGCCCGAUAGUGGAGGAUAAGUCGAUGGAAACGUCGUGUAAUACUCCGUAACAUACGGGACCGCAUGAUUCUGUAUUAAUAGAUUUAUUGCUAUCGGAUUGGCUCGCGUACCAUUAGCUGGUUGGCGGGGUAACGGCCCACCAAGGCGACGAUGGUUAGGGGUUCUGAGAGGAAGGUCCCCCACAUUGGAACUGAGACACGGUCCAGACUCCUACGGGAGGCAGCAGUGAGGAAUAUUGGACAAUGGCCGGAAGGCUGAUCCAGCCAUGCCGCGUGCGGGAAGAACCGGCCCUAUGGGUUGUAAACCGCUUUUGUUGGGGAGCAAUAAGGAGCACGUGUGCUUCGAUGAGAGUACCCAGCGAAUAAGCAUCGGCUAACUCCGUGCCAGCAGCUGC
RNAcentral lists this ribosomal RNA (506 nucleotides) under uncultured bacterium. RNAcentral's name for it is "bacterial SSU rRNA". It matches the Rfam family "Bacterial small subunit ribosomal RNA", at positions 21 to 518 of the family's 1533-position model. The record is from RNAcentral.